GUGGGGAAUAUUGCACAAUGGGGGGAACCCUGAUGCAGCGACGCCGCGUGAGUGAAGAAGUAUUUCGGUAUGUAAAGCUCUAUCAGCAGGGAAGAAGAAAAUGACGGUACCUGACUAAGAAGCACCGGCUAAAUACGUGCCAGCAGCCGCGGUAAUACGUAUGGUGCAAGCGUUAUCCGGAUUUACUGGGUGUAAAGGGAGCGCAGGCGGCGCGCUAAGUCUGAUGUGAAAGCCCGGGGCUCAACUCCGGGACUGCAUUGGAAACUGGCGAGCUGGAGUGCCGGAGAGGUAAGCGGAAUUCCUAGUGUAGCGGUGAAAUGCGUAGAUAUUAGGAGGAACACCAGUGGCGAAGGCGGCUUACUGGACGGUGACUGACGCUGAGGCUCGAAAGCGUGGGGAGCAAACAGG
This 408-nucleotide ribosomal RNA is filed under the name uncultured bacterium. RNAcentral describes it as "bacterial SSU rRNA". It matches the Rfam family "Bacterial small subunit ribosomal RNA", at positions 354 to 776 of the family's 1533-position model. The record is from RNAcentral.